AUUUGAUGCCAUAACCCUUUGAGAACGCCUGAACUAACUCGUCAGAUCUUAGAAAAUAAGCAGAGCUGGGUCUGGUUAGUACUGUGAUGGGAGACCGCUAGGAAUACCUACUGCUGCAAUGG
This 122-nucleotide ribosomal RNA is filed under the name Periophthalmus magnuspinnatus. The record is from RNAcentral. Lineage: Eukaryota; Metazoa; Chordata; Actinopteri; Gobiiformes; Gobiidae.